This 750-nucleotide ribosomal RNA is filed under the name uncultured cyanobacterium. Its description in RNAcentral is "bacterial SSU rRNA". It matches the Rfam family "Bacterial small subunit ribosomal RNA", at positions 54 to 846 of the family's 1533-position model. The record is from RNAcentral. Lineage: Bacteria; Bacillati; Cyanobacteriota.
CAUGCAAGUCGAACGGGAAUCUUAGGAUUCUAGUGGCGGACGGGUGAGUAACGCGUAAGAAUCUAACUUCAGGACGGGGACAACAGUUGGAAACGACUGCUAAUACCCGAUGUGCCGCAAGGUGAAACCUAAUUGGCCUGAAGAAGAGCUUGCGUCUGAUUAGCUAGUUGGUGGGGUAAAGGCCUACCAAGGCGACGAUCAGUAGCUGGUCUGAGAGGAUGAGCAGCCACACUGGGACUGAGACACGGCCCAGACUCCUACGGGAGGCAGCAGUGGGGAAUUUUCCGCAAUGGGCGAAAGCCUGACGGAGCAACGCCGCGUGGGGGAGGAAGGUCUUUGGAUUGUAAACCUCUUUUCUCAAGGAAGAAGUUCUGACGGUACUUGAGGAAUCAGCCUCGGCUAACUCCGUGCCAGCAGCCGCGGUAAUACGGGGGAGGCAAGCGUUAUCCGGAAUUAUUGGGCGUAAAGCGUCCGCAGGUGGUCAGCCAAGUCUGCCGUCAAAUCAGGUUGCUUAACGACCUAAAGGCGGUGGAAACUGGCAGACUAGAGAGCAGUAGGGGUAGCAGGAAUUCCCAGUGUAGCGGUGAAAUGCGUAGAGAUUGGGAAGAACAUCGGUGGCGAAAGCGUGCUACUGGGCUGUAUCUGACACUCAGGGACGAAAGCUAGGGGAGCGAAAGGGAUUAGAUACCCCUGUAGUCCUAGCCGUAAACGAUGGAUACUAGGCGUGGCUUGUAUCGACCCGAGCCGUGC